AAGCCCAUCCAUUUGAGGACGGCCUUCCUUAACCCAAAUGGCCCACAUCGUGCUGUUUGUUCAACGGAAGGGCUGAGGAUGAAUUUUCCCACAAACCGUCAGUGACAGUGGGCCUCUCCAACGCCAACACACCAGUGCCUUCUGUGACAGGACAGAGAGCUGGAGGGCAUCCAGACAGGCAAUAAACAAAAAUUUGAUUGCAUGUCCACGUACCAAGCCCUCUGCUAAGCAUUGGAGGUACAAUGGUGAAAACGUCAUGGCCCUGCCCUCAUGGAGCUUACAUUCUACAAAAGUAAAAGUUCACCUCUAAGAUGGAAGGAAGCAAGAGGCACAGCUGCUCAUCCAGAGGACAAUGCCGGGAGACAGCGGAGACCUAAAGGGGAUGCUCUGCUCUGGCUCCAUCCCCCACACCUCCCACCCACCCCCACAGUAUGCCAUCCCCGAGGAAGGAAGGUGCCAGGCUCCAGAGAAGGGGGGUUGGGCCCCUUUCUCCUGAGGAGGAAAAGAAGGUGAGAAUCACUGACCUGAGAAGUUUCCGUGAACUCUGGCCAUGAGGGAGAAGGGAGGGGGAGAGGGCAGCAGGAGCUGGGCAAGGCGCUGGGGAGGGAAGCGACCUGGCAAAGUGGUUUCCUUGCUGCAAACUUCGCAUUGGAUCCUGUGGCAAACAGACAUGCUGGACCUACCCUGAGGACUGAGAAGGGCUGGGGACCACUUGCCACUGGGACAUUAGAGGAAAGAGUGGUGUUUGGAGCAAGGAGACCCAUCACCCUGGACUGCUGGAGGCUGACCCUGGGUGAGGGGAGGCAGCUUACCCUGAAGGACGACGGAGGCUGUGCCCAUCCUGCCCUUCUGCUCCCUGCUCCACAGAAGUGCUGUGUGUUUAUAGGUAAACUAUGAGUGUGAGUGAGAGAGAAAAGGGCUUCGGUUGGUCCUCAGCAGUGCCAAGUUCUGUACGCCCCAGCUGUUGCCUGAGCCUACCUCCCUCCCAAGCUGAUGGGAACCAAGAGACCUCAAAUUUCCAGGUGUAAACAUCAGGGAGGAGCAAUGAAGAACAAAGAUCAAGACUUCCCAUUUUCCAUGACACUGAUGUGGGGGUGGGGGCGCCAUACCUACCUGGCCCAGUUCCCAUCCAUGCCCUUUGGGGAGCAGGAAGCUGCCAUCUGGGCAUGAGGCAGUGUCAGCCUCACCAUCAGCAUGACACCUUCUCCUGGGACAGCCACGGCCCAUGCAGGCGGCCUGCGCAGAGCCUCCUGAACUCUAGGUCUCUCAAGCCCAAUUCCGCCCAGCUCUCUGAGAUCAGAUAGUCUCAAAAGCCAGGAACUCAC
Rhinolophus ferrumequinum (greater horseshoe bat) is the source of this 1325-nucleotide long non-coding RNA. RefSeq lists it as uncharacterized. The record is from RefSeq and is a predicted model, not a curated record. The transcript has 3 exons. Lineage: Eukaryota; Metazoa; Chordata; Mammalia; Chiroptera; Rhinolophidae.